This 497-nucleotide ribosomal RNA is filed under the name uncultured bacterium. Its description in RNAcentral is "partial 16S ribosomal RNA". It matches the Rfam family "Bacterial small subunit ribosomal RNA", at positions 28 to 507 of the family's 1533-position model. The record is from RNAcentral.
GAUGAACGCUGGCGGCGUGCCUAAUACAUGCCAGUCGAGCGAACAGACGAGGAGCUUGCUCCUCUGACGUUAGCGGCGGACGGGUGAGUAACACGUGGAUAACCUACCUAUAAGACUGGGAUAACUUCGGGAAACCGGAGCUAAUACCGGAUAAUAUAUUGAACCGCAUGGUUCAAUAGUGAAAGACGGUUUUGCUGUCACUUAUAGAUGGAUCCGCGCCGCAUUAGCUAGUUGGUAAGGUAACGGCUUACCAAGGCAACGAUGCGUAGCCGACCUGAGAGGGUGAUCGGCCACACUGGAACUGAGACACGGUCCAGACUCCUACGGGAGGCAGCAGCAGGGAAUCUUCCGCAAUGGGCGAAAGCCUGACGGAGCAACGCCGCGUGAGUGAUGAAGGUCUUCGGAUCGUAAAACUCUGUUAUUAGGGAAGAACAAAUGUGUAAGUAACUAUGCACGUCUUGACGGUACCUAAUCAGAAAGCCACGGCUAACUACGUG